Long non-coding RNA from Sander lucioperca (pikeperch), 91 nucleotides. RefSeq lists it as uncharacterized. Lineage: Eukaryota; Metazoa; Chordata; Actinopteri; Perciformes; Percidae. The record is from RefSeq and is a predicted model, not a curated record. The transcript has 3 exons.
ACACCACUGAUUUUUUUUCUCCUCGCGAUUAACGUACGCACGUUCUGUGAUUUCGCUCCAUAGUUUGAGAAAUCAGGAAGCUGCAGCAGUA